RNAcentral lists this ribosomal RNA (292 nucleotides) under uncultured Acidobacteriota bacterium. RNAcentral's name for it is "uncultured Acidobacteria bacterium partial 16S ribosomal RNA". The record is from RNAcentral. Lineage: Bacteria; Pseudomonadati; Acidobacteriota.
GGACUACCCGGGUUUCUAAUCCUGUUUGCUACCCACGCUUUCGUGCCUCAGCGUCAGAAAUCGUCCAGAAAGCCGUUUACACCACCGGUGUUCCUCCUGAUAUCUACGCAUUUCACCGCUACACCAGGAAUUCCACUUUCCUCUCCGACCCUCUAGUCCCGCAGUCUAUAGCGCACCCUCCCAGUUAAGCCGGGAGAUUUCACACCAUACUUACAGGACCGCCUACGCACCCUUUACGCCCAGUAACUCCGAACAACGCUUGCUGCCUACGUAUUACCGCGGCUGCUGGCAC